AUUGAACGCUGGCGGCAUGCUUUACACAUGCAAGUCGAACGGCAGCGCGGGCUUCGGUCUUUCUGCGAGUGGCGAACGGGGGAGUAAUGCAUCGGAACGUGCCCAUGAGUGGUGGAUAGCCCUGCGAAAGCCGAAUUAUUACCGCAUACGACCUGAGUGUGAAAGCGGGGGACCGAAAGGCCUCGCGCUAUUGGCGCGGCCGAUGUCGGAUUAGCUAGUUGGUGGGGGAAAGGCUUACCAAGGCGAAGAUCCGUAGCUGGUCUGAGAGGGCGACCAGCCACACUGGGAAUGAGACACGGCCCAGACUCCUACGGGAGGCAGCAGUGGGGAAUUUUGGACAAUGGGGGCAAACCUGAUCCAGCCAUGCCGCGUGGGGGAAGAAGGCCUUCGGGUUGUAAAACCCUUUUGUUCGGGAAGAAAACCUGUUGGCUAAUACCCCGGGGGGAUGACGGUAACGGAAGAAUAAGCACCGGCUAACUACGUG
Molecule: ribosomal RNA, 484 nt
Filed under: uncultured bacterium
Lineage: Bacteria
Description: partial 16S ribosomal RNA
Rfam family: Bacterial small subunit ribosomal RNA
Source: RNAcentral